AUUGGAGCCCUCGUACUCAUAAGUUGUUUUCAAUGAUGGAGCUUCCGAAUCGACGAUCCACUCCGUUAAAUAUGAUCUAGAGUAUUUGAAACUUUUAGAAAAUAAAUUUCGUAAAUUUUCGAAAUCAUAAUAAAGUCCAUCAAGUGGGCAUAAAAUGAACGGUCAAAAUCGAACGACGUCCUAAAAAAGGAUGAUCGGAUCCUUCAAUUCAAGAUCGGAGUUAUUAAUCUUUAUCUAUGUAGUGAAUAGAAUUUUCUAUAAAAAAUUCAAUAAAUUUCGAUUCUUUUACACCGUUAAACUAGCAAGUAUCAAAUACCGGCCGUUAAAAAUUUUCAAAUUUGUAACCUCUUGAUCGUAAGAUAAAUGAUGUCGAAAAAUUAUAAAAUUUGAUUUCUAAAAGUUUUAAAUGCCGUAAAUAACGUUUAAUGGUGUGGAUCGUCAAUUCGGAAGCUCUAUCAUCGAAAACAACUUAUGAGUACGAGGGCGAUCGUACUCAUAAUAGUAUAGUAGCCGGAGAGUUUUGCUAGAAUACUAUCGGUAAUAAACGGCUCGGUUUACUACUGAUUUAUUUUCGAUGAUAGAGCUUCCAAAUUAAUGAUCGGCACUGUUAAACAUGAUCUAAAUUAUUUAAACUAUCUGGAAAUCAAAUUUCACAUAUUUUCGAUAUUAUUCUCUUAUCCAUCAAGUAAACAGAAAAAUGAAUGGCUGGAAUUGAAUAUCCUUCAAAAAGUGAUGAUACAAUUUUUAUAUUUGAGAUGUAGAGUCUAGAUCUUAUUUUAAAUAGUCUAAAGAAUUUUCUAACAAAAAUUUAGUUGAUUGAAACUCUUCUAUACCGUUAAAUGAGCAAACGCACUAUAUUGGCCAUUAAAUUAUAGAUUUUGUAACUCUUUGAUCGUUCAGUUAGUGAUGCCAAAAAAUCAUGAAAUUUAAUUUCUAGAUAAUUUAAAUAGUCUAGAUCAUGUUCAACAGUGCCGAUCGUCGAUUUGGAAGCUCUAUUAUCAAAAACAAAUCGGUAGUAAACCAAGCGGUUUACUAUCGAUAGUAGCCCAGUCAAACUCGUAGCUGGACCCUCUAUAUAUAUAUAUUGAUACUUUCAAAUUUUAUAAUUUUAAAUUUUAAAUUUUAUUUAUAAUAUUUAUUUUCAAAUUUUAAACUUCAAAAUUUAAAAUUUUAAAUCUCUAAACUCUAUGAAAUUAAUUAAUUAAUUUUAUUAAUAAUUCAUUAUAUAUAAUAUAAUUAAUUAAUUUAUUAAUAAUACAUAUAAUAAAUUGCGUAAUAAAGUCUAGCCUGAUAGAUGCAAUUUAAAUCACGUAAAAUAUUGUUGCAUAAAAAAAAUACAGUAUUUAAAUUUAGAAGUAAAAUUUUAGAAAUAUAGUGUAUUUCUGUAUAUAUAUAAUUGAUGUUAUUAAACAAUUUCUUUUAUAAUUUUAUUUUUCUUAUAUUUAUUAAUUUUCUUAAAUUAUUUUGUAGAUUUAUCUCAAAUCAUUUUCAUAUAAAUAUUUAUAAAAUAAAUUGUUGUAUAAAUGUACUUUGCGUAUAUUCCAAUUUUAAUGACUUUUAUUUAAAUAGAUUUACCGAUUAAAUUAUUUUUAUAUACCUUNUAUUAAACAAUUUCUUUUAUAAUUUUAUUUUUCUUAUAUUUAUUAAUUUUCUUAAAUUAUUUUGUAGAUUUAUCUCAAAUCAUUUUCAUAUAAAUAUUUAUAAAAUAAAUUGUUGUAUAAAUGUACUUUGCGUAUAUUCCAAUUUUAAUGACUUUUAUUUAAAUAGAUUUACCGAUUAAAUUAUUUUUAUAUACCUUUUAUUUAAUUAAUAAUUAGACUUAUAAAACUAUAUAAAAACGUAAAAAAAAGUAAAAUUUAUUAUAAAAUUAUUUUUAUAUCCGCAGCAUCGCGCGGGUAUUUUACUAGUGUACCAUGAUAACUACGU
RNAcentral lists this long non-coding RNA (1926 nucleotides) under Ananas comosus (pineapple). RNAcentral's name for it is "long non-coding RNA (ACOM_LNC009133)". Lineage: Eukaryota; Viridiplantae; Streptophyta; Magnoliopsida; Poales; Bromeliaceae. The record is from RNAcentral.